This is a long non-coding RNA of Vidua macroura (Pin-tailed whydah), 448 nucleotides long. RefSeq lists it as uncharacterized. Lineage: Eukaryota; Metazoa; Chordata; Aves; Passeriformes; Viduidae. The transcript is spliced from 2 exons. The record is from RefSeq and is a predicted model, not a curated record.
GAGUUCUUCUCAUAUCUACAAUACAUGAAAAGUAGCAAAAACCUCCUUAGAAGACAAGGUUUUAACUGAAAGGAAUCCUGCAUAAACAACUUAGGUCACUUUUGGAUGCAGGACAUUUCACUACAUGGAGUAUUGACAACGCAGUAUGAAAUGCUCUAUGAAAAUUGUCAACAAAAUGCCAAUUUCUGUCCUGCAAGAAGAUGCCAGGAUACAUUUGAGAAGCACACGUUUCCAUUCUGCCAUUUACUUUAGACUGCCAAAGAUAAAAGGUUUCAGACAACAGAAGACUUUAGCAGUGUCAAGAAUAAUUCAUUACCCAGCACUAUGACAUUCACUAAAGAAUAUGAGGAAUUUAGCAUUGCAUCUUGCUAACAUCUCUGUUGCAGACAUUGUUUUCGACUUUUGAAAACAUUGUUCACAUGCAUAAAGCAAUUACUGAGUCAUACUA